Triticum aestivum (bread wheat) is the source of this 125-nucleotide non-coding RNA. Lineage: Eukaryota; Viridiplantae; Streptophyta; Magnoliopsida; Poales; Poaceae. The record is from Rfam.
CUUGUAUUUCCUCCAUCCGGAAAUACUUGUCGAAGAAAUGGAUGAAUCUAGACGUAUUUUAGUUAUAGAUACAUCCAAUUUUAUCCAUUUCUCCGACAAGUAUUUUGAGACGGAGGGAGUAUUUG